GUUGUAGCUCAGUGGUAGAGCACUUGCCUUGCAUGCAAAAGGCCCUGGGUUCAAUCCUCAGCACACA
RNAcentral lists this transfer RNA (67 nucleotides) under Marmota monax (woodchuck). RNAcentral describes it as "tRNA.Ala". It matches the Rfam family "tRNA", at positions 6 to 65 of the family's 71-position model. From Rfam's summary of the family: Transfer RNA (tRNA) molecules are approximately 80 nucleotides in length. Their secondary structure includes four short double-helical elements and three loops (D, anti-codon, and T loops). Further hydrogen bonds mediate the characteristic L-shaped molecular structure. tRNAs have two regions of fundamental functional importance: the anti-codon, which is responsible for specific mRNA codon recognition, and the 3' end, to which the tRNAs corresponding amino acid is attached (by aminoacyl-tRNA synthetases). tRNAs cope with the degeneracy of the genetic code in two manners: having more than one tRNA (with a specific anti-codon) for a particular amino acid; and 'wobble' base-pairing, i.e. permitting non-standard base-pairing at the 3rd anti-codon position. Lineage: Eukaryota; Metazoa; Chordata; Mammalia; Rodentia; Sciuridae. The record is from RNAcentral.